AGCAGCCGCGGUAAUUCCAGCUCCAAUAGCGUAUAUUAAAGUUGUUGCAGUUAAAAAGCUCGUAGUUGAAUUUCGGGAUUAGUACGUUGGUCGUGCCUUCGGUACGUACUGGUGUUACUGAUUCCUACCUUCUGACGAACCAUCAUGUCAUUAAUUUGGUGUGGCGGGGAAUCAGGACUGUUACUUUGAAAAAAUUAGAGUGUUUAAAGCAGGCUCGCGCUUGAAUACAUUAGCAUGGAAUAAUGAAAUAGGACGUUGACCCUAUUUUGUUGGUUUCUAGGAUUGACGUAAUGAUUAAUAGGGAUAGUUGGAGGCAUUAGUAUUCAAUUGUCAGAGGUGAAAUUCUUGGAUUUAUUGAAGACUAACUACUGCGAAAGCAUUUGCCAAGGAUGUUUUCAUUAAUCAAGAACGAAAGUUAGGGGAUCGAAGACGAUCAGAUACCGUCGUAGUCUUAACCAUAAACUAUGCCGACUAGGGAUCGGAUGAUGUUAUUUUUAAUGACUCA
RNAcentral lists this ribosomal RNA (505 nucleotides) under uncultured fungus. RNAcentral's name for it is "SSU rRNA". It matches the Rfam family "Eukaryotic small subunit ribosomal RNA", at positions 569 to 1078 of the family's 1831-position model. The record is from RNAcentral. Lineage: Eukaryota; Fungi.